GUGCAGCAGGCGCGAAAACCUCCGCAAUACACGAAAGUGUGACGGGGCCAUCCCGAGUGCCGUCCGCUGAGGACGGCUUUUUCCCCAGUGUACACAGCUGGGGGAAUAAGGAGAGGGCAAGCCUGGUGUCAGCCGCCGCGGUAAUACCAGCUCUCCGAGUGGUGGGGACGCUUAUUGGGCCUAAAGCAUCCGUAGCCGGCUGGGCAAGUCCUCCGUUAAAUCCAACGAUUCAAUCGUUGGGCUGCGGGGGAUAC
Molecule: ribosomal RNA, 254 nt
Filed under: uncultured microorganism
Description: partial 16S ribosomal RNA
Rfam family: Archaeal small subunit ribosomal RNA
Source: RNAcentral